Molecule: ribosomal RNA, 134 nt
Filed under: Canis lupus dingo (dingo)
Lineage: Eukaryota; Metazoa; Chordata; Mammalia; Carnivora; Canidae
Source: RNAcentral
GCCUAUGUCUCUGCCUCUCUCUGUGGGUCUCUCAUGCAUAAAUAAAUAAAAUUUAAAAAAAAAAGGCUAAGCAGGGUGAGCCUUGGUUAGUACUUGGAUGGGAGACGACCUAGUAAUACUAGGUGCUAUAGGCU